UACGGAGGGAGCUAGCGUUAUUCGGAAUUACUGGGCGUAAAGCGCACGUAGGCGGCUUUGUAAGUUAGAGGUGAAAGCCUGGAGCUCAACUCCAGAACUGCCUUUAAGACUGCAUCGCUUGAAUCCAGGAGAGGUGAGUGGAAUUCCGAGUGUAGAGGUGAAAUUCGUAGAUAUUCGGAAGAACACCAGUGGCGAAGGCGGCUCACUGGACUGGUAUUGACGCUGAGGUGCGAAAGCGUGGGGAGCAGACAGG
Molecule: ribosomal RNA, 253 nt
Filed under: uncultured bacterium
Lineage: Bacteria
Description: partial 16S ribosomal RNA
Rfam family: Bacterial small subunit ribosomal RNA
Source: RNAcentral